This 470-nucleotide ribosomal RNA is filed under the name uncultured Alphaproteobacteria bacterium. Its description in RNAcentral is "bacterial SSU rRNA". It matches the Rfam family "Bacterial small subunit ribosomal RNA", at positions 211 to 698 of the family's 1533-position model. Lineage: Bacteria; Pseudomonadati; Pseudomonadota; Alphaproteobacteria. The record is from RNAcentral.
UCGGGCGUCUUGGGAGCAGCCUGCGUCCGAUUAGCUUGUUGGUGGGGUAAUGGCCUACCAAGGCGACGAUCGGUAGCUGGUCUGAGAGGACGAUCAGCCACACUGGGACUGAGACACGGCCCAGACUCCUACGGGAGGCAGCAGUGGGGAAUAUUGGGCAAUGGGCGCAAGCCUGACCCAGCAAUGCCGCGUGGGUGAAGAAGGUCUUCGGAUUGUAAAGCCCUUUCGACGGGGACGAUGAUGACGGUACCCGUAGAAGAAGCCCCGGCUAACUUCGUGCCAGCAGCCGCGGUAAUACGAAGGGGGCUAGCGUUGCUCGGAAUUACUGGGCGUAAAGGGCGCGUAGGCGGUUUGGUCAGUCAGGCGUGAAAUUCCUGGGCUCAACCUGGGGGCUGCGCUUGAUACGGCCAGACUUGAGGACGGAAGAGGCUCGCGGAAUUCCCAGUGUAGAGGUGAAAUUCGUAGAUAUU